This 265-nucleotide long non-coding RNA is filed under the name Citrus sinensis (sweet orange). RNAcentral's name for it is "long non-coding RNA (CSIN_LNC003170)". The record is from RNAcentral. Lineage: Eukaryota; Viridiplantae; Streptophyta; Magnoliopsida; Sapindales; Rutaceae.
UUCCAUUUGUCUUCCCGCUGAUUCCUCACACUCUUGAGAGAGAAGCCACCAAUUUCCUUUAUCGCAACAGUAGUUUGUGUUGGUUUUGGAAGUUUAGAAGAUAAGGGUAUUUUAGUCCAAAAAUUUAUAUCUGGUUAUGUGAGUUAUAAAAAAAAAUUUGCAGUGGAUUUAUUUGUGGAAAUGGAAAAUUAUUUUGGUCAUUACCAGAAAUUUGAUUAAGUUCCACCAUGGAGGUGACAGGUAAGUAGAAAAUGAUAUUCGAAGA